Molecule: non-coding RNA, 80 nt
Organism: Crenichthys baileyi (White River springfish)
Lineage: Eukaryota; Metazoa; Chordata; Actinopteri; Cyprinodontiformes; Goodeidae
Source: the annotation of a GenBank genome assembly
UGCAUGGUGGUGCAGCUGGUAGCACUGUAGCACAGCAAGAAGGUCCUGGGUUCGACUCCCGGCCGGGGGUCUUUCUGCAU